This 278-nucleotide unclassified non-coding RNA is filed under the name uncultured fungus. Its description in RNAcentral is "partial contains 5.8S ribosomal RNA, internal transcribed spacer 2, and large subunit ribosomal RNA". The stretch from base 1 to 52 matches the Rfam family "5.8S ribosomal RNA", at positions 103 to 154 of the family's 154-position model. Lineage: Eukaryota; Fungi. The record is from RNAcentral.
AACGCACAUUGCGCCCGCCAGUACUCUGGCGGGCAUGCCUGUCCGAGCGUCGCCUCAACCCUCGAGCCCCCCCGGGGGCCCGGCGUUGGGGGACGGCCCCGCGCCCUCGCCGGCAGCGGGCGCCGCCCCCUAAAUCCAUCGGCGGCCCCGCCGCGCCCUCCCAUGCGCAGUAGCACUUGCUGACGCUCGCAGAGGGAGCGCGGCGCGGCCACGCCGCAAAACACCCCACCGACGGAGACGCUGACCUCGGAUCAGGUAGGAAUACCCGCUGAACUUAA